This 251-nucleotide ribosomal RNA is filed under the name uncultured prokaryote. RNAcentral describes it as "partial 16S rRNA". It matches the Rfam family "Bacterial small subunit ribosomal RNA", at positions 525 to 775 of the family's 1533-position model. The record is from RNAcentral.
ACGUAGGGUGCAAGCGUUAAUCGGAAUUACUGGGCGUAAAGCGUGCGCAGGCGGUGUUGUAAGACAGAGGUGAAAUCCCCGGGCUCAACCUGGGAACUGCCUUUGUGACUGCAACGCUAGAGUAUGGCAGAGGGGGAUGGAAUUCCGCGUGUAGCAGUGAAAUGCGUAGGUAUGCGGAGGAACACCGAUUGCGAAGGCAAUCCCCUGGGGCGGUACUGACGCUCAUGCACGAAAGCGUGGGGAGCAGACAG